RNAcentral lists this ribosomal RNA (270 nucleotides) under uncultured bacterium. RNAcentral's name for it is "partial 16S ribosomal RNA". The record is from RNAcentral.
CUGCUGCCUUCCGUAGGAGUCUGGUCCGUGUCUCAGUACCAGUGUGGGGGACCUUCCUCUCAGAACCCCUAGACAUCGUCGCCUUGGUGGGCCGUUACCCCGCCAACAAGCUAAUGUCACGCAUGCCCAUCCGUCUCCGGAGUCGCCUCCUUUGGCCGAAAGAAGAUGCCUCCCCUCGGCCACAUGCGGUAUUAGGCCGGAUUUCUCCGGGUUAUCCCGCUGAAACGGGCAGGUUGCAUACGCGUUACUCACCCGUGCGCCGGUCGCCGG